This 1347-nucleotide ribosomal RNA is filed under the name Escherichia coli. RNAcentral describes it as "partial 23S ribosomal RNA". It matches the Rfam family "Bacterial large subunit ribosomal RNA", at positions 396 to 1746 of the family's 2925-position model. The record is from RNAcentral. Lineage: Bacteria; Pseudomonadati; Pseudomonadota; Gammaproteobacteria; Enterobacterales; Enterobacteriaceae.
GCUGUGAGCUCGAUGAGUAGGGCGGGACACGUGGUAUCCUGUCUGAAUAUGGGGGGACCAUCCUCCAAGGCUAAAUACUCCUGACUGACCGAUAGUGAACCAGUACCGUGAGGGAAAGGCGAAAAGAACCCCGGCGAGGGGAGUGAAAAAGAACCUGAAACCGUGUACGUACAAGCAGUGGGAGCACGCUUCGGCGUGUGACUGCGUACCUUUUGUAUAAUGGGUCAGCGACUUAUAUUCUGUAGCAAGGUUAACCGAAUAGGGGAGCCGAAGGGAAACCGAGUCUUAACUGGGCGUUAAGUUGCAGGGUAUAGACCCGAAACCCGGUGAUCUAGCCAUGGGCAGGUUGAAGGUUGGGUAACACUAACUGGAGGACCGAACCGACUAAUGUUGAAAAAUUAGCGGAUGACUUGUGGCUGGGGGUGAAAGGCCAAUCAAACCGGGAGAUAGCUGGUUCUCCCCGAAAGCUAUUUAGGUAGCGCCUCGUGAAUUCAUCUCCGGGGGUAGAGCACUGUUUCGGCAAGGGGGUCAUCCCGACUUACCAACCCGAUGCAAACUGCGAAUACCGGAGAAUGUUAUCACGGGAGACACACGGCGGGUGCUAACGUCCGUCGUGAAGAGGGAAACAACCCAGACCGCCAGCUAAGGUCCCAAAGUCAUGGUUAAGUGGGAAACGAUGUGGGAAGGCCCAGACAGCCAGGAUGUUGGCUUAGAAGCAGCCAUCAUUUAAAGAAAGCGUAAUAGCUCACUGGUCGAGUCGGCCUGCGCGGAAGAUGUAACGGGGCUAAACCAUGCACCGAAGCUGCGGCAGCGACACUAUGUGUUGUUGGGUAGGGGAGCGUUCUGUAAGCCUGUGAAGGUGUACUGUGAGGUAUGCUGGAGGUAUCAGAAGUGCGAAUGCUGACAUAAGUAACGAUAAAGCGGGUGAAAAGCCCGCUCGCCGGAAGACCAAGGGUUCCUGUCCAACGUUAAUCGGGGCAGGGUGAGUCGACCCCUAAGGCGAGGCCGAAAGGCGUAGUCGAUGGGAAACAGGUUAAUAUUCCUGUACUUGGUGUUACUGCGAAGGGGGGACGGAGAAGGCUAUGUUGGCCGGGCGACGGUUGUCCCGGUUUAAGCGUGUAGGCUGGUUUUCCAGGCAAAUCCGGAAAAUCAAGGCUGAGGCGUGAUGACGAGGCACUACGGUGCUGAAGCAACAAAUGCCCUGCUUCCAGGAAAAGCCUCUAAGCAUCAGGUAACAUCAAAUCGUACCCCAAACCGACACAGGUGGUCAGGUAGAGAAUACCAAGGCGCUUGAGAGAACUCGGGUGAAGGAACUAGGCAAAAUGGUGCCGUAACUUCGGGAGAAGG